UUUGAGACAUAUAUUCCAACUGCCAAACUACUGCUUUCACUUUAUGCUUAUAUUUGAUCACUAUAUAGAACAAGUUUUGCAUUGUUAUUACCAAGUUGGUCUUGGCAGACACUUCCGGUUUGCAGUCAAAUAUUUUUGCUAAAUUAGUUUACUUUGUUUACGUUUACUUUGGGACUUUUAACAAUUAAAAAAAAAAGUGUGUUCAUUUUUAAAUCUAAAAAGGUUUCCUUUUAGGGGUAGGGUUCAUGUUUGGCUUAGGGUAGCAGUUACUUCUCUUUAUAUGAACAAUGCAAAGCUACAGCAGUUCUCAUUUAGAAAGCUAAGUAAACAUGUGAGCAUGUGUUUCAGGAUGAAUCAUGACUAACCGCUGAAAGUAUUUCAGAGUUCUACUUCCCCUAAGACAAUGACGCCAUGGACUUGCCCCAGUGAGUUUAAGCUCCCUUAAUGUUGGCGUAUCGACGAAGAUUAAAGACAUUUUUGGACGUUUUCACUCGUUUUCAAGAUUUUUUAAAACUGUCAUGAUGUCCUGGCGUCAAUACAUAGCACCUCUGGUCUUCUGCGCCCAAGUGGCCAGCUCGUUUUUUGACACCGCUCUCCAAAUGGUCGUGAAAGAAAGAUGCGCAAACACCACCGAUCCGGACAGCGAGCAGAAAGCCAUCACCAACUUUAACAUGAUCUUCAAUAUGAUAUUAAAAUUCGUGCCCAUUGUGCCUGCGAUCCUCUUGGCAAAGGUUGGCGACAAAGGUUACAGGAAAGUGCCUAUUUUUGUUCCUCUGAUCGGUUACUUGGUGUCCAGAACUUUACUUUUGCUGGAUAUCGUUCUGGAAUGGCCACUCCAGGUGUUGUACGCGGUACCGGUUAUUCAUGGACUGUGCGGAGGUUUCGCGUCAUAUUGGGCCGGUGUGAUGGCGCUUGUUUCGGUGUGUGCAACUGAGGAUAAGCGCUCGUUGCGCAUCAUGAGGACCGAGCUGGUGUAUGGAAUCGCUGGUUUCAUUGGCAGCUUGGCUUCUGGUCACCUGUUUAACCUAUAUACUGUAGAUCUCAAGCAUGGGGUCAUUUUAUCUGGACUGAGUGUUCUUUUCUAUUUCUUCUGUCUGAUUUAUGCGGCGGUUAUCCUGCGGGUGGAUAACAUAGUGCUUGAAAACAGACAGGAGAGACGCGAGAGUAUCGGAAUCAUAAACCAAGAAGCUCGUGAUACGCUGAAUAUCGUUUUGCUCUUCGCCGGUGGGAUUUUGUAUGAUAUAGCAGUGGCAGGAGGGAUAGAGAUGUUGGCGGCGUAUGUGCUCAAAGAGCCGCUGAAUUGGGGCGCGACGGAGGUGGGUUAUGGAAACGCGGCUGGAUCUCUGAUCUUCAUCACCAGUUUUGUGGGUGUGAAGAUCUUCACGAGGUGUUCUGUGAGAGAUGAGAGUAUGAUCAUGAUCGGGAUGGUGUCAUUUGCCGCGGGGAUUUACUUCAUGGCAUUUGUGACCACAACUCCACUUUACUUUUUGGCUCGUUCUCUCACUCUGUUUGCUCUGAUUCCAAUGCCCACCAUUCGCUCGCUGCUGUCCAAACAGGUCAAGGGAACCUCAUAUGGUAAUAAAACAUUGCAGCAGUCCAGUCAUGAGAUGACAAGAGCCUGGUCCACGAGCUGCACAGCCUAUUCAGACAGGCAUUACCUUCGUACUACUCCAGUUGUCCUUCAAACUUGCAAGCUUGGUGACCACACCCAUUUACACCAAAAUCUACCAGAUCUCCCUUGACACAUUCCCAGGGUUUGUCUUCAUACUGUCCAGCAUCUUCACUGUUCUUUCUAUUAUACCCAUCAGUAUUGUAGGAUGUCGCUCUGCAAGACACAAUGGAUAUGAGACAAUUCAAGGGAACUGACAGCAUCAGGACCCAUUAACGGAAAUACAAACAUGACACACCUCUAAGAAAAGUGUUUGAAAUGGGCAUCUUUGCACAAUAAAUGAUUUGUAGAAACACACGGUUACAUAUUAUAGUAAUAUAUAUUACUCAGGUGACUGGUAGGUAAUGGUACAUUUUGUAGCCUAUAGUUACACUUUGCUUUACUGGUAAUGUAAUCUGUUUAGUGUCACAUAUGUCAUGUUUAUGGGUCUUAGUAUAACAAUGGACAGAAUGUGUACAAAAUACUGCUGACAUUUGCUGAUAUUCUGUUAAUAGAUAUUUCUGAGAUCCGCACUGCUUAUUUGACAUUUAUAAUGGCAUUUUUAAUUAGAAUUUUUUAAUUGUUUGUACAGUUUUGUAAUAAAUUCAAUUAUUUGUACAUCUGCAGGAAUCUUAUUAUUAAUCAUAUGCAUACUUUUUUACAUGGUUGAAGUUACUGGAAAAUAUAAUA
This is an RNA transcript of Xyrauchen texanus (razorback sucker), 2338 nucleotides long. It is a transcript of the gene named thymic stromal cotransporter homolog, with no coding region annotated. Lineage: Eukaryota; Metazoa; Chordata; Actinopteri; Cypriniformes; Catostomidae. The record is from RefSeq and is a predicted model, not a curated record. The transcript has 5 exons.